UGAGUGAAAAGGAUUUAUGUGUAUACUGUUUGGUUGGGUGGGAUUUGGUUGCCUGUGUGUGUAAGAGUGUGACUGAGAUGGAACCUAGUUCUGAAGCGAGUGUGGAGGUCUUCUAACCGCGGUUCCAAUCUCCCGCGAGGGACUUGGCCGGU
This is a long non-coding RNA of Oxyura jamaicensis (ruddy duck), 152 nucleotides long. RefSeq lists it as uncharacterized. Lineage: Eukaryota; Metazoa; Chordata; Aves; Anseriformes; Anatidae. The record is from RefSeq and is a predicted model, not a curated record. The transcript is spliced from 3 exons.